RNAcentral lists this ribosomal RNA (253 nucleotides) under uncultured prokaryote. RNAcentral's name for it is "partial 16S ribosomal RNA". It matches the Rfam family "Bacterial small subunit ribosomal RNA", at positions 524 to 776 of the family's 1533-position model. The record is from RNAcentral.
GACGAACCGUGCGAACGUUGUUCGGAUUCACUGGGCUUAAAGGGCGCGUAGGCGGACCCGCCAGUCUGGGGUGAAAUCGUUCGGCUUAACCGGACCAUUACCUUGGAUACUGCGGGUCUCGAGGGAGGUAGGGGCAUGCGGAACUUCCGGUGGAGCGGUGAAAUGCGUUGAUAUCGAGAGGAACACCUGCGGCGAAGGCGGGUUGCUGGGCUGACACUGACGCUGAUGCGCGAAAGCUAGGGGAGCGAACGGG